RNAcentral lists this ribosomal RNA (428 nucleotides) under Viridiplantae environmental sample. RNAcentral describes it as "partial 18S ribosomal RNA". It matches the Rfam family "Eukaryotic small subunit ribosomal RNA", at positions 133 to 567 of the family's 1831-position model. The record is from RNAcentral. Lineage: Eukaryota; Viridiplantae.
CCUUUACUCGGAUAACCGUAGUAAUUCUAGAGCUAAUACAUGCGUAAAUCCCCCCUUCUGGAAGGGACGUUUUUAUUAWAUCAAAGGCWBCCGGGSUUGCCCGACUCUUGGCGAAUCAUGAUAACUUCACCAAUCGCACUGCUUUUUGCUGGCCAUGUUUCAUUCWAAUUUCUGCCCUAUCAACUUUCGAUGGGAAGAUAGUGGCCUACCAUGCUGGUAACAGGUGACGGACGAUUAUGGUUCGAUUCCVGAGAGGGAGCCUGAGAAACAGCUACCMCAUCCAAGGAAGGCAGCAUGCGCGCAAAUUACCCAAUCCCAACRCGGGGAGGKAGUGACAAUAAAUAACMAUACCGGKUAUUUUUGUCUGGUWRUUGGAAUGASUACAAUCUAAAUCCCUUAACGAGUAUCCAUUGGAGGGCAAGUCUGGU